CCUACGGGGGGCAGCAGUGAGGAAUAUUGGUCAAUGGCCGAGAGGCUGAACCAGCCAAGUCGCGUGAGGGAAGAAUGUCCUAUGGAUUGUAAACCUCUUUUGUCAGGGAGCAAAGUCACCCACGUGUGGGUGUUGGAGAGUACCUGAAGAAAAAGCAUCGGCUAACUCCGUGCCAGCAGCCGCGGUAAUACGGAGGAUGCGAGCGUUAUCCGGAUUUAUUGGGUUUAAAGGGUGCGUAGGCGGGUUAUCAAGUCAGCGGUAAAAUCGUGGAGCUCAACUCCAUCCAGCCGUUGAAACUGAUGAUC
Molecule: ribosomal RNA, 305 nt
Filed under: uncultured bacterium
Lineage: Bacteria
Description: bacterial SSU rRNA
Rfam family: Bacterial small subunit ribosomal RNA
Source: RNAcentral